GGGGAUUUAGCUCAGCGGUAGAGUGCUUGCCUAGCGAGCGCAAGGCCCUGGGUUCGAUCCCCAGCUCCG
Molecule: non-coding RNA, 69 nt
Organism: Rattus norvegicus (Norway rat)
Lineage: Eukaryota; Metazoa; Chordata; Mammalia; Rodentia; Muridae
Source: Rfam